AACGGGUGAGUAACACGUGAGCAACCUGCCCUUGACUCUGGAAUAACAGCUGGAAACAGCUGCUAAUACCGGAUAUGACCUUUGAUGGCAUCAUCUAAAGGUGGAAAGCUCCGGCGGUCAAGGAUGGGCUCGCGGCCUAUCAGCUAGUUGGUGAGGUAACGGCUCACCAAGGCUUCGACGGGUAGCCGGCCUGAGAGGGCGACCGGCCACACUGGGACUGAGACACGGCCCAGACUCCUACGGGAGGCAGCAGUGGGGAAUAUUGCGCAAUGGGCGGAAGCCUGACGCAGCGACGCCGCGUGGGGGAUGACGGCCUUCGGGUUGUAAACCUCUUUCAGCAGGGGACGAAGCGCAAGUUGGACGGUACCUGCAGAAGAAGCACCGGCCAACUACGUGCCAGCCGCCGCGG
Molecule: ribosomal RNA, 409 nt
Filed under: uncultured bacterium
Lineage: Bacteria
Description: bacterial SSU rRNA
Rfam family: Bacterial small subunit ribosomal RNA
Source: RNAcentral